Molecule: long non-coding RNA, 549 nt
Organism: Bombus impatiens (common eastern bumble bee)
Lineage: Eukaryota; Metazoa; Arthropoda; Insecta; Hymenoptera; Apidae
Exons: 2
Source: RefSeq, a predicted model, not a curated record
UUUUGUGGUUCUUAAAUAGAAUCGAAACUAUUGAAUUAUUUAAAAAUUAAUGAACUUCUAUGCGGAAUCUUUAGAACAAUGUAUAUUUAAAUAAUUAAUUACAAAUUAAGAAGAUUUUAACAUUUUUACAAUUAUCGGGAUUUGACCCCUUGCUCAACGAUAAAACUCUCUUUACGUUGUUUGAUUUACACAUAUUUUCGAUUUUACAUGAUAAAAUGCGAUUUAUUUCAUAUCCAAUCGAGAAGGUUGUUAAUAAUUUAUGUUAAUAGAUAUAGAUCUGAUUUGUCUUUACAAGUGCUUAUGGUAAAGAAAGUAAUCUGCAUAAUAUGCAGAUUAACGAAUGAUUACAAGUAGUUAUCAAUUGCGACAUAAAACAUUCUUAACAUUUACUCUACGGGGAGCCACUUAACCUCUUCGGUACAAACACGGUACAAGUGUCGGUUAUAGUCGACAUCCUCUGCAUAUUCAUGGACGAGCGUCGACGUUGCGUCGAUUAAAGUUAACAAUAACAAUAACAAUAUGCAAACGUUUUUGCUCGUGGUCGUCAAG